CCGACCGGCCGGUCGGCUGUCGGGGCUGCGGCGUCUGGGCGGGCCAGUUGGCGUUCAGACUCUGAGUGGUGUGCGUGUCCAAUAAAGCCUUAUUAAGCCACGGGAAGGUCGGCCUUGGGAAGACCAAGCUGUUCCGGGUGAUCUUCCACGCUGUCAACCUGAACCCGACGGUGACCUGCCAAGAAAAGGAUCUCGAAAAGGCCGUCGGCAAGUGGCUGACAAACUGCCGCGACCGUGACGGCCAGCGAUCAGACCGGGGGCGAGGCCGUCCGCCCGCCCAGUGACUUGUGUCUCGAUGAGCGCAGAAAGAAAUACAGGACUGUGCCUGAUG
Long non-coding RNA from Amphibalanus amphitrite, 331 nucleotides. RefSeq lists it as uncharacterized. The transcript is spliced from 2 exons. NCBI's taxonomy places the organism in Eukaryota, Metazoa, Arthropoda, Thecostraca, Balanomorpha, Balanidae. The record is from RefSeq and is a predicted model, not a curated record.